This 914-nucleotide ribosomal RNA is filed under the name uncultured bacterium. RNAcentral describes it as "bacterial SSU rRNA". It matches the Rfam family "Bacterial small subunit ribosomal RNA", at positions 8 to 916 of the family's 1533-position model. The record is from RNAcentral.
AGAGUUUGAUCCUGGCUCAGAUUGAACGCUGGCGGAAUGCUUUACACAUGCAAGUCGAACGAUGAACCUUAGCUUGCUAAGGGGAUUAGUGGCGAACGGGUGAGUAAUAUAUCGGAACGUGCCUUGUAAUGGGGGAUAACUAGUCGAAAGAUUAGCUAAUACCGCAUACGCCCUGAGGGGGAAAGUAGGGGAUCUUCGGACCUUACGUUAUAAGAGCGGCCGAUAUCUGAUUAGCUAGUUGGUGGGGUAAUGGCCUACCAAGGCGACGAUCAGUAGCUGGUCUGAGAGGACGACCAGCCACACUGGAACUGAGACACGGUCCAGACUCCUACGGGAGGCAGCAGUGGGGAAUUUUGGACAAUGGGCGAAAGCCUGAUUCAGCCAUUCCGCGUGAGUGAAGAAGGCCUUCGGGUUGUAAAGCUCUUUCGCAAGGGAAGAAAACUUACAUUCUAAUAAAGUGUGAGGCUGACGGUACCUUGAUAAGAAGCACCGGCUAACUACGUGCCAGCAGCCGCGGUAAUACGUAGGGUGCGAGCGUUAAUCGGAAUUACUGGGCGUAAAGCGUGCGCAGGCGGUUUGGCAAGUCAGAUGUGAAAUCCCCGAGCUCAACUUGGGAACUGCGUUUGAAACUGCCAGACUAGAAUAUGUCAGAGGGGGGUAGAAUUCCACGUGUAGCAGUGAAAUGCGUAGAGAUGUGGAGGAAUACCAAUGGCGAAGGCAGCCCCCUGGGAUAAUAUUGACGCUCAUGCACGAAAGCGUGGGGAGCAAACAGGAUUAGAUACCCUGGUAGUCCACGCCCUAAACGAUGUCUACUAGUUGUUGGUGGAGUAAAGUCCAUGAGUAACGCAGCUAACGCGUGAAGUAGACCGCCUGGGGAGUACGGUCGCAAGAUUAAAACUCAAAGGAAUUGACGG